GAUGAACGCUAGCGGCAGGCUUAAUACAUGCAAGUCGAGGGGCAGCAUGACUGUAGCAAUACAGUUGAUGGCGACCGGCAAACGGGUGCGGAACACGUACAGAACCUUCCUUCGAGCGGGGAAUAGCCCAGAGAAAUUUGGAUUAAUACCCCAUAGUACAACGGAGUGGCAUCACUUUGUUGUUAAAGAUUUAUCACUUGAAGAUGGCUGUGCGGCUGAUUAGGUAGUUGGCGGGGUAACGGCCCACCAAGCCUGCGAUCAGUAACUGGUGUGAGAGCACGACCAGUCACACGGGCACUGAGACACGGGCCCGACUCCUACGGGAGGCAGCAGUAAGGAAUAUUGGUCAAUGGACGAAAGUCUGAACCAGCCAUGCCGCGUGAAGGAUUAAGGCCCUCUGGGUUGUAAACUUCUUUUAUCUGGGACGAAAAAAGGGUAUUCUUACUCACUUGACGGUACCAGAGGAAUAAGCACCGGCUAACUCCGUGCCAGCAGCCGCGGU
Molecule: ribosomal RNA, 502 nt
Filed under: uncultured bacterium
Lineage: Bacteria
Description: bacterial SSU rRNA
Rfam family: Bacterial small subunit ribosomal RNA
Source: RNAcentral